RNAcentral lists this long non-coding RNA (1567 nucleotides) under Physcomitrium patens. Its description in RNAcentral is "long non-coding RNA (PPAT_LNC006816)". Lineage: Eukaryota; Viridiplantae; Streptophyta; Bryopsida; Funariales; Funariaceae. The record is from RNAcentral.
GGUUUGUUUUGGAUGACUUGGAUUUUGUGAAAUAAAAUAGGUGUUACGUUUUGGGUGAUUUCAAGAAUUUUGUAAUAGUUCUACAAGUGAAAAUUUGUGGGUUAAUGUUUAUAGUUGUAUUCAAUAUUUUUUGUAAAUUUAAGUUCGAUCUAACAGUUGAAUUGAGAGUUAUUGAGGUUUAAGUGAGUCAAGGUAUCAAAAAGUAAAAUUUUAGGUCUAGUGAGGGUUUUUAAGAUUUCUUGCAAUCUACUAGUUAGAUUGGAGUAAAACUUAUGUGAGAGGAUAUUAGAUUUUUUUUUCUAUAUGUAUGAGAAUUUUGAAAUCAAUCGAAUGGUGAAAAGAAGAGAUAUUGGCUCUAGAAGAUUGGCAUUAAGGUUGGAGAAGGAGGCCGGCCAAUACCCGAGCAUGUUUUUGAGGUAAUCAUCUAUUUAGUAAUUCCGAUCCUUUUCAAAAUUUUUGUACUUAUUUUCAACUUAGUUUUUAAGAAGUUCAAAAAAUUUGAGUUAAGAUCAAUAAUUCAUUCAUUAGUUAUUGAGGUUUGAAUCUGUUAUAGAAAUUACUAGGGUUUGAUUAAGAUUUGGUUUAGGGUUUAGAAUUUGGUUAGGGUUUCAUUUAGGAUUUGGUUAGGGUUUGGUUAGGAUUUGGUUUAGGGUUAAGGAUUUGAUUUAAGUUUUAGGGUUUAAUUUAGGAUUUAGGAUUUGAUUUAGGGUUUAAGAUUUGGUUUAAGAUUUGUUUAGGAUUUGGUUAGAGUUUGGUUUAGUAUUUGAUUAGGAUUUGAUUUAGGGUUUAAGAUUUGGUUUAAGAUUUGUUUAGGAUUUGGUUAGAGUUUGGUUUAGUAUUUGAUUAGGAUUUGGUUUAGGAUUUAGGAUUUGAUUUAGGAUUUAGGAUUUGAUUUAGGAUUUAGGAUUUGAUUUAGGAUUUAGGAUUUGGUUUAGGAUUUAAGGUUUAGGGUUUGAUUUAGGAUUUAAGAUUUGAUUUAGGAUUUAUUUAAGGUUUGGUUAGGAUUUAGAAUUUGGUUUAAGGUUUAAGGUUUAGUUAGGAUUUGAUUUAAGAUUUACUUAGGGAUUGGUUAGAAUUUGGUUUAGAAUUUGAUUAGGAUUUGGUUUAGGGUUUAGGAUUUGGUUUAGAAUUUAAGGUUUAGGGUUUGAUUUAGGAUUUAAGAUUUGAUUUAGGAUUUAUUUAAGGUUUGAUUAGGAUGUAGGAUUUGGUUAGGGUUUGAUUUAGGAUUUAGAAUUUGGUUUAAGGUUUAAGGUUUAGUUAGGAUUUGAUUUAAGAUUUAUUUAGGGAUUGGUUAGAAUUUGGUUUAGAAUUUGAUUAGGAUUUGGUUUAGGAUUUAGGAUUUGAUUUAGGAUUUAAGGUUUAAUUAGGGCUUAAUUUAAGAUUUAGGGUUUGAUUUAGGAUUUGUUUAAGAAUUGGUUAGAGUUUGGUUUAGGAUUUGAUUAGGAUUUGAUUUAGGAUUUAAGAUUUUAUUAGGAUUUAUUUAGGAUUUAUUUAGGAUUUAAGAUUUAAUUAAUUUUGGCCUAAAGUUCAAAUGAAGUCCAAUAGGAUUUUAACUAGGAUUAAAUUA